This 2544-nucleotide unclassified non-coding RNA is filed under the name Acromyrmex echinatior (Panamanian leafcutter ant). RNAcentral's name for it is "octopamine receptor beta-1R, transcript variant X5". Lineage: Eukaryota; Metazoa; Arthropoda; Insecta; Hymenoptera; Formicidae. The record is from RNAcentral.
UCAUAUAGAUAAUAAAUGCUAAAUAAAUUAUGAUGUUAUACAUAUACGAUGGUGAAAGUGUUAAUGAGAUUUUGCAAUCUUUUAACAGUUAUAAUAAGAAAAAUACGACAAAAUUAAUAUAUACUACGCGAUUGCAGAGUAAACGAAACUAGCUGUCAAUUCACUGACUCGCGGCUCGCGUGUUUGCUAAGCCAAACCAAAUACACUCGUUCAAUAUAACAUAAGCCCAUAAUGAAAUCAAGUAUAUAUCGCACAAUGUCUCGUUUUCUCAUGAAUGAAUUAAAGACAAGGAACUUUACUUUCUUAAUAAACAGCAGAAUGUGAUUAAAUAAUUUUGAAUAAUUAGAGGACAGUCAAUAUAAUGAUUAAAGAAAUAGUAAUAAACAAUCAAAAAGUGUCGAAUGUCUAGUCAAUGAAAAUCUCUGUUAAAUAAUGUGAAAAACAUUGUGACAUUAAUUUAGUGUGUCGAAGAAAUUGUCAAAAUUGAAAUAUUGCAAAUUGACUUUCUUACGGCAAACAGUGACUCGAUCGAGGAUCAAAGGCACCUAAGAAACUUGAAGGUUAUCGUUGUAUGAAGACACUUUAAAAUCUAUGAAAAAUAUGCUGCAUGAAAAUUCCGUUUGGAUGUCGAAAUUUGGAAAAAAUUACAACUACAAUUGUAUAAAAUAAUAAUAACAACAAAAUAUAAGAAAAAAAAUCUGCAAUUAUGAUUAUGAUCGCAAGAACUCAUAUAAGCGGACAAUCAUUAGCUCAAGAAAACUCAAGUAUACGAAAUGUCUAGAAGCUCAAGUACCAAUUUAUCCAAGUAGCUCAAUGAAACUUAUUUUCCGAGAUGUAUUUUCGCCUAAUUUUCUUAUUUUGGAUUUUAUUGAUAAGUGAAUCACACAAACACUAUAAAUAAAUCAUCUUGAUGUUACAAAUUAAGAACUUCGCGAUCUACAACAUCGCCUAGGCGAAAUCAUAACCUGACUUUCGUAAAUGGAUCGAUUGCACAUCAACCAUAAGGAAGAAGCCGAGAGAAAAAUCGUCGAAAGACGAUCGCUAGUUGAAACGUGAGAAAAACUUCAGUUCCUCAAGAUGGGUUUUAACGAGACGGAUCUGAACAACACUGUGAAUCUACCGAGCACUUUUCUUCUCGACACUGGUCAGCGAAACAUCAGCAAAAACCAUCACGAUAUCGAAUAUGUUCUCUUGUUAACUUUGAAAGCUUUCAUUAUGAUAUUCAUCAUCCUUUGUGCUCUCCUCGGCAAUUUAUUGGUCAUUGUCUCUGUCAUGAGACACCGCAAACUCCGGGUAAUUACCAAUUACUUUGUGGUUUCGCUGGCCUUGGCGGACAUGUUAGUGGCGUUGUUCGCCAUGACGUUCAACGCUUCCGUGGAACUUUUUGGACGCUGGUUAUUCGGAUAUUUCAUGUGCGAUGUGUGGAAUUCGUUGGACGUUUUCUUCAGCACCGUCAGCAUCCUUCACCUUUGCUGCAUCAGCGUCGAUAGAUAUUACGCGAUCGUCCAACCACUGGACUAUCCGUUAAUCAUGACAAACGUGAGAUUGGGAACCAUGUUGAGCGUUGUAUGGUGUUUCCCGACUGUUAUGAGCUUCCUACCGAUCUUCGCAGGAUGGUAUACCACGAACGAGCAUCUCGAGUACAGAAGAAACUAUCCGGAUAUAUGUGUGUUUCAAGUCAACAAGUUCUAUGCUGUCGUCAGUUCCUGUGUGAGCUUCUGGGUACCAGGGAUAAUCAUGAUCGCGAUGUACUACAAGAUUUAUCGCGAGGCCGAUCGUCAGGAGCGCAUGUUGUAUCGGAGCAAGGUAGCGGCCGCUCUGCUAAAUAAACAUCUGCAGAUCAAUGGGAUCUCGGCCGGUUUGACAUCUCUGCCGACCGUGGACCAAUCGUCGCCAGAGCCACAACAAGUGGCAGAAGAGCCGCCAAUAACAAGUAGCAGUAAAAUGAAAAGAGAGAGGAAGGCAGCUAGAACGCUCGGCAUCAUCAUGUCAGCGUUUCUAGCUUGUUGGUUACCUUUCUUCCUAUGGUAUAUCAUCACUGCUCUAUGCGACUCGUGCGAGAGCGGCGAAGUGGUGGUAGCGGUGGUGUUCUGGGUAGGCUAUUUCAACAGCGCUUUGAAUCCGUUGAUCUACGCUUAUUUCAAUCGCGAGUUUCGCGCAGCCUUUCGUAAAACCCUCGAAAGCUGUUGUCGUGCGAUCGGACCGGUGCGCGAUCUGCGCCAAGUGCAUCGCAAACAGGACCUCGUGCACAGCAACGCCUCGUCCGAGUUGCAUGUCAACAAUCAGUUGCGCAAUAGCGAGAUGACCAACGUCCAUAUUGAGGCGUGUAUUUAAAUGAAUCACGCGAUCCGGUGAGGUGAAAGUAACGGCGAAAUCUUCGGAGCGCCUUCUGAAUAGAAUAAAAUAGAAAGCUUGUCAAGAUUUCAUGGGUAGUCAAACUGCAACGUCUGUUUAGCAUCUGGGACAAUAGCAUCCUUUCACUAUUGUUGUAGGAUGCAUGCGACUGUGCUGCAUCGAAAGCUACAUAUAAUAUUUGUGAGCGCA